Molecule: long non-coding RNA, 1142 nt
Filed under: Marmota monax (woodchuck)
Lineage: Eukaryota; Metazoa; Chordata; Mammalia; Rodentia; Sciuridae
Source: RNAcentral
AAAGCAGGGAGCCAUCUAGAAGGAGGCUGCUUCCGGGGUGUAAGAGUCAGAGGCAGGGAAGCUCAAGAAACAGGAAAAUGAAGAUGGUUUUUUGUUGUCUUUAAAGCCCAUGAUUUCAAGAAAAUGAGUCUGGGGUUAACAUGUUCUUGCUGCAGCUCAGCCAAAACCCACCUUGGCUCUUUUCUCUUCUAGAAACAUGGAGAAGACCAUCUGGGUACCAUUUUUGGAGGGAAAGAUGGCUCAUAUUGGCUUAAAGCCUACUGUUAAGUCAACUGGGUCCCACUUAUUUCCUAUUUUCUAGACCUUUCCACCCUGGGCCAUAUAAUUCUGGGUUCCACAGGUGUCUUUUAGGUCCUUCUCUCUAACCCUUUAUUUUACCUCUCCAUUCACAUUUCCUUUUAGUAGUUCAACUCCAAAUAGCAUGCAGUGCUCAGAAGGGACCAACCCCAGAAUCCCCUGGAUGAUUGCGUGCUGGACCUGUGUUGUUUAACUCAGUUUCUCAGUCUACCGUCAUGCUUACUGUUCUUAAGAGACACAUGAGACACAGCAGGUGUGAUCCCACCCCAUAGUAAGGCGUUAGGCCUCUUCUGUUGAUUUUACUUUCACCUUGUGAUCCAUCCCACAUUACUAUUGUCUUCCUAUCAGAUUUUAUUCUUUCAUCCCUUUCUCACUUUUUAAUUUUUUACCUACUUUAUUUGAUGGUAUCAUACUGGAUGCCUUUUUUCUUCCCUCCUCCUAGAUUUAAAACUUUAUACUGAUUAUCUUACUGAGUUUCACUGGAUUUGUUUUGAACCAAAUACAGAGCUUGUCAAAUUUAUUUUUAUAUUAAUUAAAAAUUUAGUCCCUGUUUGCAGCUUCUGGGCCGUUGGUAAGGCUUGUUUUCAUAGAAGGGUUUUUGCUGUAGUCAGAACCUCUGUGCAAGCAAACUGGCACCCAUGUUGUUGUUGGCUAACUUGACAAGGAAAAUAGGGCCAGUAUCCUGGUGAAGGAGCUCUGGCACUGCCCUUGUGGUUUGGUAUACUUGAAAACACUAAAUAUUUCAAUGCCCCACUCCUAACCCAGAGAAAAUAGAGUCAAGGGCUGUCAUCAAGUGGUGUGGCUUCUGGGUUUGAGAACACUCUUGGCUUUGUUGCAGAUUAGGG